GAUUGUGGCUCCACUGUUACUCUCUGUGUAAUGUGGGAUCGUAAAUUUGGGACAAAGCCGGUACCCCUCUGGGUGGUUGUGAAGUUUACAAGAGACUCUGUAGAAGCCCCUGCCCCAUUCCUGCCAUCUGAGGGUCCAGCCUGGAAGCCAAGUGGCACUGAACCAAUUUUCAGACAUGAGCUUUGCUGAAAUAAAACACAAGUAUCUCUGGUCAGAGCCUCAGAAUUGCUCAGCCACCAAAAGUAACUACCUUCGAGGUACUGGUCCCUACCCACCUUCCGUGGACUGGCGGAAAAAAGGAAAUUUUGUCUCACCUGUGAAAAAUCAGGGUGCCUGCGGCAGUUGCUGGACUUUCUCCACCACCGGGGCCCUGGAGUCUGCGAUCGCCAUCGCAACCGGGAAGAUGCUGUCCUUGCCUCAGUUGUCUUCAUGAGGGAAGAGCCGGGACCUAUGCAUCCAUCCCCUCGCCCACAAGAGACGGAUGAUGCCCCUGAAGGAACUAUCCUAGCCCCUGCCUCUGUGGAGAAAGGAGGGACAGUGCACAGCCGGCCUGGUGAUGCCAUGAGGAC
RNAcentral lists this small RNA (569 nucleotides) under Pan troglodytes (chimpanzee). RNAcentral describes it as "processed transcript". The record is from RNAcentral. Lineage: Eukaryota; Metazoa; Chordata; Mammalia; Primates; Hominidae.